Molecule: ribosomal RNA, 484 nt
Filed under: Streptococcus downei
Lineage: Bacteria; Bacillati; Bacillota; Bacilli; Lactobacillales; Streptococcaceae
Description: bacterial SSU rRNA
Rfam family: Bacterial small subunit ribosomal RNA
Source: RNAcentral
CGGGCGUCUUAACAUGCAAGUGGAACGCAUUAAUAUCACCGGAGCUUGCUCCACCGCUAUUAAUGAGUCGCGAACGGGUGAGUAACGCGUAGGUAACCUGCCUGAUAGCGGGGGAUAACUAUUGGAAACGAUAGCUAAUACCGCAUAAAGAACUCUAACACAUGUUAGAGAUUUGAAAGAUACCAUUGUAUCACUAUCAGAUGGACCUGCGUUGUAUUAGCUAGUUGGUAGGGUAGCGGCCUACCAAGGCAACGAUACAUAGCCGACCUGAGAGGGUGAUCGGCCACACUGGGACUGAGACACGGCCCAGACUCCUACGGGAGGCAGCAGUAGGGAAUCUUCGGCAAUGGACGAAAGUCUGACCGAGCAACGCCGCGUGAGUGAAGAAGGUUUUUGGAUCGUAAAGCUCUGUUGUAGCGGAAGAACGAGUGUAAGAGUGGAAAGUUUACACAGUGACGGUACGCUACCAGAAAGGACGGCUACU